Molecule: long non-coding RNA, 913 nt
Organism: Cyprinus carpio carpio
Lineage: Eukaryota; Metazoa; Chordata; Actinopteri; Cypriniformes; Cyprinidae
Source: Ensembl
GGAAAAACAACGUCAGGUGUCAGGUCUCAUACAAUUAGGCAUCAGACGAAACGGACUCAGACAAAAAGGCAUCAGACGAAACGGACUGAGACAAAAAGGCAUCAGACGAAACGGACUCAGACAAAAAGGCAUCAGACGAAACGGACUCAGACAAAAAAAGGCAUCAGACGAAACGGACUCAGACAAAAAAAGGCAUCAGACGAAACGGACUCAGACAAAAAGGCAUCAGACGAAACGGACUCAGGAAAAAAAGGCAUCAGACGAAACGGACUCAGACAAAAAGGCAUCAGACGAAACGGACUCAGGAAAAAAAGGCAUCAGACGAAACGGACUCAGGUGGAGUAUCGCGUUGCCCCGCCCCAGGUGACGUCACACGCACGCGGUUCAGAGGAAGUGGUAUAUAACGGUUGAUUGAUGGCAAAAGGAGUGAAAGGCGUCUGAGAAGAUUAAUAAAAUCAAGUGAGCCACAGAGAUGGCAUCGUCCAAGAGCACAGGGAGUACAUCCAGAGGCAGUGAGUGAACUUCUUGUCCUGAAACCAAAAUCAGUUGGGAAUACUGGAAUCAAGUCUACCCUACACAAGGCUUACACAGGUCCCCUUCCAGAUGCUGAUGUCUUGGCUUCUGGUGCAAAACUAAGUCAGAUUAAUCCCAAGCCUUUGCUGGCACACAUACUUGAUGGCAUGUCAAAAGUAGAGUUGGUCCCCUCACAAUUCAGUCCUGUACCUCAUGGCAAUCCACUUUCAUACCAAUGUCUCCCUAUAGCUGCAGGUGUUCCUGAUGUUAAUUUUCCCCCACUACCUGUGCUUGGUUAUCAGUUUGGCUGUAAUUUUAAAUUUGUGCCCACACACCAUCAAGCACUUCAUCUGGAGUCUAUAAAGGUUACCCAUAGUUCAGCUUGCCAGAUUGAAGAGGC